Molecule: ribosomal RNA, 636 nt
Filed under: Bacillus sp. (in: firmicutes)
Lineage: Bacteria; Bacillati; Bacillota; Bacilli; Caryophanales; Bacillaceae
Description: bacterial SSU rRNA
Rfam family: Bacterial small subunit ribosomal RNA
Source: RNAcentral
GCGUGCCUAUACAUGCAAGUCGAGCGAAUCAAAGGGAGCUUGCUCCCUGAGGUUAGCGGCGGACGGGUGAGUAACACGUGGGUAACCUGCCUGUAAGAUUGGGAUAACUCCGGGAAACCGGAGCUAAUACCGGAUAACAUUUUGAACCGCAUGGUUCAAAAUUGAAAGAUGGCUUCGGCUAUCACUUACAGAUGGACCCGCGGCGCAUUAGCUAGUUGGUGAGGUAACGGCUCACCAAGGCGACGAUGCGUAGCCGACCUGAGAGGGUGAUCGGCCACACUGGGACUGAGACACGGCCCAGACUCCUACGGGAGGCAGCAGUAGGGAAUCUUCCGCAAUGGACGAAAGUCUGACGGAGCAACGCCGCGUGAACGAUGAAGGCCUUCGGGUCGUAAAGUUCUGUUGUUAGGGAAGAACAAGUACCAGAGUAACUGCUGGUACCUUGACGGUACCUAACCAGAAAGCCACGGCUAACUACGUGCCAGCAGCCGCGGUAAUACGUAGGUGGCAAGCGUUGUCCGGAAUUAUUGGGCGUAAAGCGCGCGCAGGCGGUUUCUUAAGUCUGAUGUGAAAGCCCACGGCUCAACCGUGGAGGGUCAUUGGAAACUGGGGAACUUGAGUGCAGAAGAAGAGAGU